Molecule: long non-coding RNA, 4713 nt
Organism: Orcinus orca (killer whale)
Lineage: Eukaryota; Metazoa; Chordata; Mammalia; Artiodactyla; Delphinidae
Exons: 3
Source: RefSeq, a predicted model, not a curated record
CUUGUUCUUGGCAUGCUUCCUUUUGCAAUCCAGCCACAAUGCUGUGAGGAGCCCAGGAUAUUCGGGUAGACCAGCCCCGCUGAGCUUUCAGCCUACAGCCAGGAUCAAUGACCAAGUUUUGAGUGAGCCAUCUUGUCUAUUCCAGCCCAUUUGAAUCCUCAGGUGACUGCAGUCCUAGCCAACAUCAUGUGGAGCAGUAGAACUGAUCAGAAAGGUGGAUGGAGUUUUGAAACAGAUGCACAUAGGAGAAGGUGAUGUAAAGAUGGUGGCAAAGAUAAAGUGCUGUGGUUACAAACUAAGGAAUGCCAAGGAUUUCUGAUACACACCAGAAGCUGAAAGAGACUCACGUCACUGAAAAGGUCACUUACUCUAUCACAAAACAGAAAUUAUUUGUGAUGAUUUUAACCCUCAUGUAAAGAACACUGUAUUUAUUGCUGUCCCUGAUCUUCAAAGAUAAGGUUGAUAAUGAUGAUUACCAUCUCCUUGUUUCUGAAGAAAAAAGACCUAGAAGAGAACAAUAGCUCUUUCCAUGAACAAGCAUAAAUUUUUAUUAUAGCAAUAAAAAAGUAACUAUUUAACAGACAUAAUGUGAAUCUGCUACAAUUUUCAAAAGGUUUUAUUCUCAGUUUAUGCCACAUUCUAGUCUUUAAUUUUAAAUUUUAAAUUGAGUAAGUCUGCAAUUCAAGAUACCUGAGAUUUAUCUACCUAAUCUGAAUAUUAUAUAAUUUAAUGUAACAUUAUAUGCCAACAUCUCAGUGAGUAAAAAACUCAGAAGAAAACAUCCACAAAUCUUCACCACUUCAUCCCUCAGAUACUUGAAUCUGUUCCCACCUAAUCUUUCUUCCCACUGGUUAAAAUGGAUGAACUCUUUGUUCAUCCCUUGCUCUUAGCAAAUGCCAGCUCCUCCAUUUGCUUUCUAAUCUCAUCUACUCUCUCCAACACAAGAACACUGCUUCCACAAUACUCACUUCUCUCUCCUACAUCAUCUGUUUUCUCCCCCAUCUGAAUUUUUCCAUCAACAUAUAAAAAUGUUGUUCUCCUAUCUAAAGAAAAGGCCUCUCGCCAUCAUUACUCAUUUCCUCCUUCAGUAAACACUCCAUAUACUUCUUUCUCUUUAGAGGAAAACUCCUCAGAAGAUUGUCUCUGCAAAUUCUGUCUUAAAUCCACUCUGUUCAAGAUUUUCUCCCACUACCCGCUGAAGCUGUUGCUGUUGAUAACCUUCAUUCUGGUCAAUUCAAUGGCCACUUCUCAGUUCUUGUAUUACUUGAUCCCUCAGCAGCUUUCCACACAACUGGUCACACUCACUCUGCUGGUAAACAUUUUCUUUGCUUCCAGGUCACUACAAUCCCAGUUGUCUUCCUUCUUUUUGGCCCUACUUUUUAUUCUACUCUGAAGUUUCCUCUUCAUCUCUCCAACAACUGCUGAAUGUUGAAAUACCCAAGGCUCAAUCCUUGUAUAUCUUUUGUGUCCUCACUAAUUCCCUUUCAUCCAGUCUCUAUUAUAACUCAUGUUUCCCAGUAUGGCCUGAACUUCUCCCCUAUGCCCUCAGGUCCAACUACACAACAUAUCUCCACACGGAUGUCUAAGAGACAUUUCAGUUUACCAUAUUCAAAACUGACCUCCUCAUCUCUAUCCUCUCUGCAAAUCUGCUCUUCCCAUGUCUGUUAAGGGCAACUCCCUAACUUGUAGUAGUUCAGAGAAAAUGCUUUACAAAGUUUUCUCCCACAAUUCACGUUGAAACCACAGCAAAUACCAUUAGCUCUACCUUCCAGAUACAUCUAGAAUCAACUACUUCCCACUAUUUCCCCCAUUAGUCACUAUUCCAAGGCCCCUGAAUUAUUGCCACUAGCCUCCUCUGGUUUCUCUGCUUCCACCCUUUCUCCCCUUUAGGUUCUUCUCAACACUGAUAAAAUAUGUCAGAUCAUGCACAAUUCUCAAAAUCCUCCAGUAGCCCUUUAUCUCACUUAGAGACAAGUCUAAGUAAUUGCAACAGCUACAAGUUCCUAUGAAGUUUGGCUCCCUGUGCUUUUGUGAUCUUAUCUUCUACAAUCCCAUGUAUUUACUGUGCUCUAAUCACACUGGCCCCGUUUACGUGGCUUGAAUUUGCUAGGCAUUCUCCCACUUCAGGGCCUUCAUAAUUGCUAUUUUCUUUCCUGGAAUCCUCAUUUGCUACGUAACCCCAUGGCAAGUUUCCUUCAGCUCCUCCCAGUUUUAACUCAUAUAUUAUCUUCUCAGAGUGUUCUUCCCUGAGCAUCCUAUUUAAAAUUGCAAUAGUCCCCUGGAACACCCUCUGUCCCCUUCCCUUGGUUUAUUUCUCUUUAGCAUCAUUAUAAUUUAACAUACUGCAUAAUUUACUUAGUUUAGUUUCAUUUCUGUCUCCCACACUUCACUUUGCAAGUUCCAAGAGGGUGAGUUUUUUAGUGUUAUUUACUCCUAUCGACCUGAUGCCCAGAGAGUUGUUUCAAAUAUUAUAGGGGUUCAAUAAAUAUUUGUGAAAUAAUUAUGUAAGUAAGGAGUAGAGUCCAUGGCGAUUAAAAGCACAGAUUUCAGUGUUAGGAAGACCUGGAUAUGAAUUCCUGCUCUGCCUCUUACUAAGUAACUUACCUUGAACAAGUAAUUUUUCUUAGCCCCAGUUUACUGAUUAUAAAAUGGAUACAAUGAUACUUAGCACUCAAAAUUAUUUUUAUAAGCUGGAAAGGAAAUAAUAAAAUUUAAGCAAAAUAAAAGAGAAAACAUCACUUUUGCAGUGAUUCAUAGUCACUAUCAAUAAUGAGUAAUAAAAUGAGAUUGUCCAAAUAUAUAUGAUAAAUUGUAAUUGCUCUAAUUGACCACUAAGUUAAUUAUUUUAAUCAUUUCAAAUUUACUCAAAAAUUAUUUUUUACUUUAUAGUGCCAUUUGAUACUCAUUAAAAGAUGAUUAAGAAAAUUACAGUACAUUUCUCACAAGUUUUGAAUUAUAAAAUGUAGUUUUAUAAAUAAAAUAGUUUUUUAGAUAUACUUUCCAUAAAGAGUUCCAUGUUCAAUUUUAAAAUGUAAUUAUAGUAUUCAACAAAGACAUUUUAAAAUAAUAAAUUUAGAUGUUAAUCAUUUUGGUUAGCUCCAAACUUACAAUGAGCUUUAUUUUAUUUAUUUAUUUUUUUUGCAGUACGUGGGCCUCUCACUGUUGUGGCCUCUCCUGUUGCGGAGCACAGGCUCUGGAUGCGCAGGCUCAGCAGCCAUGGCUCACGGGCCCAGCCGCUCCGUAGCAUGUGGGAUCUUCCUGGACAGGGGCAUGAACCCGUGUCCCCUGCAUCGGCAGGCAGACUCUCAACCACUCAACCAGGGAAGCCCACAAUGAGCUUUAUUUUAAAGUUGGUCCUCAUUUUGUCUGAUGGUCCAAGGCUAUCGAUCUUACAGCAGAAAUUUCUCCCACCAUUCUACUUACCCAUAGGAUUUUCCCACCAACCUACCUUCAUUUUCAUUGUAAAGAGACUGCACUUGACAAAACCCAAUAUUGGCUCUGUUCCCAGAUACAUGGAUUUCUACUUUUCUUAAAUUUCUCUGUCUCCUUACCUUCCAGUAUUCACAAUGACUAUCACCAACUUAAGCUCCAGGAAAAUCAAAUACAACUCUAUUCCACAAAAACACUGAGGCCCCUUGAUCUGGUCUACUCCUCUUAUUAGAUAAUUGGAAAAAUGAAGCACAAGACAUAUCAAGUGGUUCAAGUUCACAAAGCUAGUCUAUGAAAAAGUUGGACCUUGAAUCCAUUUUGCCAAAUAGCCAACCACCUGUUUUGUUUGGAGAUUUUUUUUUUUUUACUUUACUAUAUAGCCUCAACUAUCUUCUCAGCUUUACUCUAAAGCCAAACAUCUUAACUGUUAUCUUAACACAUAUAUGUAUGGUUCUAACAAACAUUUUACUGUUGUUGAAUAAUGUGACUGGAAUAUUCCAUGUGUGACUGAAUAUUGCUUUCUGGCUAUCUAUCUUAUAGUUUUAUGUUAUUGGUAUGGAAAAAGCCUGGGAAAUGUAAAUACUCUUCAGUUAUUAAGCAUUUUAACUUACAUUUUAAACUGUAAUGUAAAAAUAAGUUGGAUGUCCAACAAUUAGUUGUUUGAACUUUUUAAUAAUUAUUAUUUUUAUGGGGUAUCUUAUACUUGCCAACCAAUGUUCUAAGAACAAAAAUACAUGCUCUGGGCCAGAUCCCAACAGAACAUGAACUUGAAUGGAGGUCUAACUCCAGCCCUUUCCAUUUGCUGCAGUAAUACUUAACUUGUUUACUUACCAGGAAGAACAUUGUCUACUUUCUAUGUGAAGAAGGAUUUUAAAAUGCAAUCAAAUAUAUUCAUUUCUCUCUUCCCUUUGUGCCUCAAAAUACUGAACUCAUAGCUCACCUCUAAACAAACUUUUUCCAAGAUUUCUGGUUCAGAUUAUGUUAGAUGGUCUCAUAAUUUGAAAGAGAUGUCUUUUUAAAAAAUACUAUUGUAACUUUUAUCCUAAAGUACAUGAUAUUUGUGUCUAAUUUUGACUCCAAGCAAAGCAGUUUGUUCCUAAGUAAUGCUGCCAGCUAUGUAAACUGUUAACUAGACAUCAGAGGAUCUGUGUAUUCAGCAAUAGUACCUUUGUGGAAGAGAAAGUAACCUUCCAUCUCUUUUUGCACCAAUACUGGUACAGUAAAUAUAUUAAAAUUGGCUAGUGUUGGUCUCUAUUUCAAAUAAAGUUUGUUAUGCAGAAAUGA